RNAcentral lists this ribosomal RNA (481 nucleotides) under uncultured bacterium. Its description in RNAcentral is "bacterial SSU rRNA". It matches the Rfam family "Bacterial small subunit ribosomal RNA", at positions 15 to 518 of the family's 1533-position model. The record is from RNAcentral.
GAUUAUGGCUCAGGACGAACGCUGGCGGCAUGCCUAACACAUGCAAGUCGAACGGAAGUAGCAAUACUUUAGUGGCGAACGGGUGAGUAACACGUGAGCAACCUGCCUUAUACUCAGGGAUAACAGUUGGAAACGACUGCUAAUACCGGAUAAGACCACACUAUGGCAUCAUAGAGGGGUCAAAGUGCUUUAGCGGUAUGAGAUGGGCUCGCGUCCAAUUAGCUAGUUGGUGGGGUAACGGCCCACCAAGGCGACGAUUGGUAGCCGACUUGAGAGAGUGAUCGGCCACACUGGAACUGAGACACGGUCCAGACUCCUACGGGAGGCAGCAGUGGGGAAUAUUGGGCAAUGGAGGAAACUCUUACCCAGCCAAUGCCGCGUGAGUGAUGAAGGUCUUUGGAUUGUAAAGCUCUUUGAUUGGGGAAGAAUAAAUGACGGUACCCAAAGAACAAGCCCCGGCUAACUAUGUGCCAGCAGCGGC